This 1326-nucleotide long non-coding RNA is filed under the name Dromaius novaehollandiae (emu). RNAcentral describes it as "lncRNA (ENSDNVG00000008243.1)". The record is from RNAcentral. Lineage: Eukaryota; Metazoa; Chordata; Aves; Casuariiformes; Dromaiidae.
AUUGGGCUUAAAUUUAUUUCUAGGACUAGAUCAUCUUUACCAUCCUGUUGCCAAGGCGUUAGCCAAUACAUCCUCCCUCCAAGUGCGAAGGACCCCGUUGCCAGGCCRGCUGCGUGUGCAGCAGACUUACUGGAAAUAUGACAGCCCUCAAGCAGUGAGGAUGUGAACCUAGCCUUUAACAGAACUCGUCUGAGUUUUGCCACUGACUCAGUGGGGGACCAACCUGAGCCAUGAGACCAUUUUCAGAGCAGAACCUUCUGCGUGCACUUCUUACGAGCAGCGUACAGUAUUUAUAGCUGGAGCUGGUCUGAAAUUCCUCACAUCCCCUCUAGAGCCAUGGAACAAGUGGAUGAAAAGCUCAGAAACUGGGUUUGGAAAUCCGUCCUGAGGUUUCAAACCACUCACUUUGAGUGCCUCUUUCUCGCGUCCUCCCCUGUGGGCUGCGUUCCCAGAGCAAAGGGAAACGGUGCUCAUUCACAGAGCACGUUGCCCGCAGUGGCACGGUGACCGCUUUCGGGGACCUGGAGGACAAUCCUGCCGGUGCCUUUCCUCAAUGGGAGCUCUGAGAGCAGGCGGAAACAGAUAACAACUUUGAGUCAUGCUGCUGUCCCUGCUGCCUCCUGUUCCUGGCAGCUGCAUGAGCCAAGCUGUCUUUCCAUCGCUACCUGCUUUUACACUCAAAAAAGUAACUCUGCGGCACAAAUUACUUCUCAGUCAUCUGCUGAGGGAAGUCACGUCUGCCUGGCAUUUUCUGGUACAACUUUCCCUCGCUGGGGCCGUGGAAGUACCUGGUGGCACUCGCAGCCCUUUGCCUGUGCGGGAGGCAGGAGCCCAGUAUUGCCUGUGUCCYUUUCAUACAAGCAGGGGCUGAGGUCCAAAGCCACAAGAAAGGUGCUGUCACUGAACGCAGACUGUAGUGGCCUCUARGGAGAUGAGCUGGGUGGGUCGUCACUCUCCUUUGACCAACCCAGCCCAACAGGGGCGAAGGGGCGGGGUGUGGAGGUCUAGCUCUUGUACCCGAAUGGACUGUUUCAGUUCAGGAUGACUUGGGAGACACAUGGAAGCCAAUGUCCUCCAGCUCUCCUAGAGCCUCAGCACCUUUCUGCUCCCCUUCUGGGCCACUCCUGACAYAUUUUACUUAUUCUCCAGCCUGCUCUGCACAAUGCUGUCCUUGUUGCUUUGGGUGCACACAUUGCCCUUUGCUCAGCUUUGCAGCACAGUUGUUUCCACCUAGGAUGGUUAAUCUUUUCCCCUUCCCUUUACCUGGUCCUUCCACCUUCAUCUACUGUAAAUAAAGUAGUGAGAGUGACAGCUGGGCUUGCGCUC